GGCUCCAUAGUGUAGUGGUUAGCAUGUCUGCUUUACAUGCAGAAGGUCCCGGGUUCUCACCCUAGGUGGAGCCG
RNAcentral lists this transfer RNA (74 nucleotides) under Pteropus alecto (black flying fox). It matches the Rfam family "tRNA". Rfam says of the family: Transfer RNA (tRNA) molecules are approximately 80 nucleotides in length. Their secondary structure includes four short double-helical elements and three loops (D, anti-codon, and T loops). Lineage: Eukaryota; Metazoa; Chordata; Mammalia; Chiroptera; Pteropodidae. The record is from Rfam by way of RNAcentral.